CCUACGGGUGGCAGCAGUGGGGAAUAUUGCACAAUGGGGGAAACCCUGAUGCAGCGACGCCGCGUGAGUGAAGAAGUAUCUCGGUACGUAAAGCUCUAUCAGCAGGGAAGAAAAUGACGGUACCUGACUAAGAAGCCCCGGCUAACUACGUGCCAGCAGCCGCGGUAAUACGUCGGGGGCAAGCGUUAUCCGGAUUUACUGGGUGUAACGGGAGCGUAGACGGAAGAACAAGUCUGUAGUGAAAUCCCGGGGCUUAACCCCGGAACUGCUUUGGAAACUGGCAGGCUGGAGUGCAGGAGGGGUAAGCGGAAUUCCUAGUGUAGCGGUGAAAUGCGUAGAUAGUAGGAAGAACACCGAUGGCGAAGGCGGCUUACUGGACUGCAACUGACGUUGAGGCUCGAAAGCGUGGGGAGCAAACAGGAUUAGAUACCCGUGUAGUC
This 440-nucleotide ribosomal RNA is filed under the name uncultured bacterium. Its description in RNAcentral is "partial 16S ribosomal RNA". It matches the Rfam family "Bacterial small subunit ribosomal RNA", at positions 338 to 795 of the family's 1533-position model. The record is from RNAcentral.